UGCCAGAGUGCACUUGACUGGACUCUGAGACCGGGGAAGGCCGAGAUCCAGAGGGGCGGGGUGCCGGGCAGAGCUGCGUGUCCCCUUGAAUUCGUAUGUGGAGUCCCCUCCCCAGGACGGCAGAACGGGACCUGAUUGGCGACAGGGUCACCGCAGAUAUAAUUUGGGCUGGUCUAUAAUCCAUGAAUAAUGGAGAAGCUUACCGAGAGGGGAAGACUGACAAAUGGAACCACUCUAGAAGUUACUUCAAUUGCUCCCCAUAGGAGCAUAGGAACUUGUUCCCCUGAGCUCUGCUGACUGCCCAGGCUGGAACACGCAAGACGCCUUCCAGGGCACUGUUGAGAAUAGAUGCGUAAGGAAAUAAAACAUCCACAGCAGUGGUGUCUCCGUCGGUGGGAAUUAGGAGGAAGCAGAGAGGGGCAGAUAGAGAGGGAGAGAGUC
This is a long non-coding RNA of Herpailurus yagouaroundi (jaguarundi), 441 nucleotides long. RefSeq lists it as uncharacterized. The transcript is spliced from 3 exons. Lineage: Eukaryota; Metazoa; Chordata; Mammalia; Carnivora; Felidae. The record is from RefSeq and is a predicted model, not a curated record.